ACAUGCAAGUCGAGGGGAAACGAUAUUGGAAGCUUGCUUCCGAUAGGCGUCGACCGGCGCACGGGUGAGUAACGCGUAUCCAACCUGCCCACCACUUGGGGAUAACCUUGCGAAAGUAAGACUAAUACCCAAUGACGUCUCUAGAAGACAUCUGAAAGAGAUUAAAGAUUUAUCGGUGAUGGAUGGGGAUGCGUCUGAUUAGCUUGUUGGCGGGGUAACGGCCCACCAAGGCUACGAUCAGUAGGGGUUCUGAGAGGAAGGUCCCCCACAUUGGAACUGAGACACGGUCCAAACUCCUACGGGAGGCAGCAGUGAGGAAUAUUGGUCAAUGGACGAGAGUCUGAACCAGCCAAGUAGCGUGCAGGAUGACGGCCCUAUGGGUUGUAAACUGCUUUUAUAAGGGAAUAAAGUGAGUCUCGUGAGACUUUUUGCAUGUACCUUAUGAAUAAGGACCGGCUAAUUCCGUGCCAGCAGCCGCGGUAAUACGGAAGGUCCGGGCGUUAUCCGGAUUUAUUGGGUUUAAAGGGAGCGUAGGCCGGAGAUUAAGCGUGUUGUGAAAUGUAGACGCUCAACGUCUGCACUGCAGCGCGAACUGGUUUCCUUGAGUAC
RNAcentral lists this ribosomal RNA (609 nucleotides) under uncultured bacterium. RNAcentral's name for it is "bacterial SSU rRNA". It matches the Rfam family "Bacterial small subunit ribosomal RNA", at positions 53 to 649 of the family's 1533-position model. The record is from RNAcentral.